This 777-nucleotide ribosomal RNA is filed under the name uncultured cyanobacterium. RNAcentral's name for it is "bacterial SSU rRNA". It matches the Rfam family "Bacterial small subunit ribosomal RNA", at positions 558 to 1334 of the family's 1533-position model. The record is from RNAcentral. Lineage: Bacteria; Bacillati; Cyanobacteriota.
GCGUAAAGCGUCCGCAGGUGGCGAUUCAAGUCUGCUGUUAAAGACAGAAGCUUAACUUCUGAUCAGCAGUGGAAACUGGAUAGCUAGAGUAUGGUAGGGGUUGAGGGAAUUCCCAGUGUAGCGGUGAAAUGCGUAGAUAUUGGGAAGAACACCAGUGGCGAAGGCGCUCAACUGGGCCAUAACUGACGCUCAGGGACGAAAGCUAGGGGAGCGAAAGGGAUUAGAUACCCCUGUAGUCCUAGCUGUAAACGAUGAACACUAGGCGUUGCUUGUAUCGACCCGAGCAGUGCCGUAGCCAACGCGUUAAGUGUUCCGCCUGGGGAGUACGCACGCAAGUGUGAAACUCAAAGGAAUUGACGGGGGCCCGCACAAGCGGUGGAGUAUGUGGUUUAAUUCGAUGCAACGCGAAGAACCUUACCAGGACUUGACAUCUCGAGAAGGAAGCCUAAUCGCUUCUGUGCCUUCGGGAACUCGAAGACAGGUGGUGCAUGGCUGUCGUCAGCUCGUGUCGUGAGAUGUUGGGUUAAGUCCCGCAACGAGCGCAACCCUCGUUCUUAGUUGCCAGCAUUAAGUUGGGCACUUUAGGAAGACUGCCGGUGACAAACCGGAGGAAGGUGGGGAUGACGUCAAGUCAGCAUGCCCCUUACGUCCUGGGCUACACACGUACUACAAUGGUUGGGACAAAGGGCAGCGAGCGAGCGAUCGCCAGCGAAUCUCAUCAAACCCAGCCUCAGUUCAGAUUGCAGGCUGCAACUCGCCUGCAUGAGGGAGGAAUCG